This 492-nucleotide ribosomal RNA is filed under the name uncultured bacterium. RNAcentral describes it as "partial 16S ribosomal RNA". It matches the Rfam family "Bacterial small subunit ribosomal RNA", at positions 29 to 507 of the family's 1533-position model. The record is from RNAcentral.
AGUGAACGCUGGCGGUAGGCCUAACACAUGCAAGUCGAACGGCAGCACAGUAAGAGCUUGCUCUUACGGGUGGCGAGUGGCGGACGGGUGAGGAAUACAUCGGAAUCUACUUUUUCGUGGGGGAUAACGUAGGGAAACUUACGCUAAUACCGCAUACGACCUACGGGUGAAAGCAGGGGAUCUUCGGACCUUGCGCGAUUGAAUGAGCCGAUGUCGGAUUAGCUAGUUGGCGGGGUAAAGGCCCACCAAGGCGACGAUCCGUAGCUGGUCUGAGAGGAUGAUCCGCCACACUGGAACUGAGACCCGGUCCCGACCUCCACGGGAGGCAGCAGUGGGGAAUAUUGGACAAUGGGCGCAAGCCUGAUCCAGCCAUACCGCGUGGGUGAAGAAGGCCUUCGGGUUGUAAAGCCCUUUUGUUGGGAAAGAAAAGCAGCAGGUUAAUACCCCGCUGUUCUGACGGUACCCAAAGAAUAAGCACCGGCCAACUUCGUG